Salvia miltiorrhiza (redroot sage) is the source of this 496-nucleotide long non-coding RNA. RefSeq lists it as uncharacterized. The transcript is spliced from 3 exons. Lineage: Eukaryota; Viridiplantae; Streptophyta; Magnoliopsida; Lamiales; Lamiaceae. The record is from RefSeq and is a predicted model, not a curated record.
UUCACGUCUCUGCCUUCUCUCUCUCUCCCGUAUUCCUCUCUCUCGAACGCACUCAAAGAACAGAAGCCAUGGGAGUAUCUGGGUGAAGCUCAAGUCCGAAAUUCAAGCCCUAGUUUCAGUCCGAUUUCGUUUUCGAGUUCGAAUUAAGGUCAAUUUGGGAAGUAACGGUCCAAAGGAAGGAGGGGACGCGUGCCUACUAACUUAAGGACGUAAUGAGGUUGAGCUGAUGUGGUGAUGGUGCUGCAAUGAGCGGAGUCUCCAGGGUUGUUAAUAAAUGAAGUUAACCUGCCUAGAAUAUGUCUUCAUACAUAUGUCUAGCUACUUUCCGCUGCAAAAUAGUUAUGAUGUUAUAGUAUGUUAUGUCAUACUUUGAGUCUUAAGAGAAUGAUUUCAUAUGAUGUACAAUUGGAUUAAUGAUGUUUAUUAAGUUUUUAUGUUGUCUUUCAUAGAAUGUUUAAAUGAGUAUUAAUGAGAAAUUAUGACAAGUUUUUCUUAA